GCCGGAGAUGUUGGCGCCGACGGACACCGCCACGAACAGGGCGAAGGCGUGGGCCACCGCCGCCGCGAUCAGCCCGGCGGGGGUCGUCGCUCCGCCGCCGGUCAGCUUGCUGAAGGCCAUGCCGGAGCCCUGGCCGGCGAAGACGAAGAUGAGGGUGGAGAUGAACUCGGCCAACGCCGCCUUGAGUGCACCCGGGUGGUACACCUCCUGGUGGCUCCCCACGGCGAUGUUGCGGAUCGGCAUCUUGCACUACUCCCUUCUGCUGCUCUCUCACUCAAACUAGAAGAGCUCAGAAAUGGAGUGGUGUGUG
This 310-nucleotide unclassified non-coding RNA is filed under the name Hevea brasiliensis (rubber tree). The record is from RNAcentral. Lineage: Eukaryota; Viridiplantae; Streptophyta; Magnoliopsida; Malpighiales; Euphorbiaceae.